AACGAACGCUGGCGGCAUGCCUAACACAUGCAAGUCGAACGAGACCUUCGGGUCUAGUGGCGCACGGGUGCGUAACGCGUGGGAACCUGCCCUUAGGUUCGGAAUAACUCCCCGAAAGGGGUGCUGAUACCGGAUAAUGACUUCGGACCAAAGAUUUAUCGCCUUUGGAUGGGCCCGCGUUGGAUUAGCUAGUUGGUAGGGUAAAAGCCUACCAAGGCGACGAUCCAUAGCUGGUCUGAGAGGAUGAUCAGCCACACUGGGACUGAGACACGGCCCAGACUCCUACGGGAGGCAGCAGUGGGGAAUAUUGGACAAUGGGCGAAAGCCUGAUCCAGCAAUGCCGCGUGAGUGAUGAAGGCCUUAGGGUUGUAAAGCUCUUUUACCCGGGAUGAUAAUGACAGUACCGGGAGAAUAAGCUCCGGCUAACUCCGUG
RNAcentral lists this ribosomal RNA (433 nucleotides) under uncultured bacterium. Its description in RNAcentral is "partial 16S ribosomal RNA". It matches the Rfam family "Bacterial small subunit ribosomal RNA", at positions 29 to 507 of the family's 1533-position model. The record is from RNAcentral.